This 72-nucleotide transfer RNA is filed under the name Nanobdellota archaeon. Its description in RNAcentral is "tRNA-Thr". It matches the Rfam family "tRNA". From Rfam's summary of the family: Transfer RNA (tRNA) molecules are approximately 80 nucleotides in length. Their secondary structure includes four short double-helical elements and three loops (D, anti-codon, and T loops). Further hydrogen bonds mediate the characteristic L-shaped molecular structure. tRNAs have two regions of fundamental functional importance: the anti-codon, which is responsible for specific mRNA codon recognition, and the 3' end, to which the tRNAs corresponding amino acid is attached (by aminoacyl-tRNA synthetases). tRNAs cope with the degeneracy of the genetic code in two manners: having more than one tRNA (with a specific anti-codon) for a particular amino acid; and 'wobble' base-pairing, i.e. permitting non-standard base-pairing at the 3rd anti-codon position. The record is from RNAcentral. Lineage: Archaea; Nanobdellati; Nanobdellota.
GCCUGCGUAGCUCAGUGGUAGAGCAACAGUUUUGUAAACUGUGGGUCGGGGGUUCAACUCCCUCUGCAGGCU